UGGGGAAUUUUGGACAAUGGGCGAAAGCCUGAUCCAGCAAUGCCGCGUGUGUGAAGAAGGCCUUCGGGUUGUAAAGCACUUUUGUCCGGAAAGAAAACCUCGUGGUUAAUACCCGUGGGGGAUGACGGUACCGGAAGAAUAAGCACCGGCUAACUACGUGCCAGCAGCCGCGGUAAUACGUAGGGUGCAAGCGUUAAUCGGAAUUACUGGGCGUAAAGCGUGCGCAGGCGGUGAUGCAAGACCGAUGUGAAAUCCCCGGGCUUAACCUGGGAACUGCAUUGGUGACUGCAUCGCUAGAGUAUGGCAGAGGGGGGUAGAAUUCCACGUGUAGCAGUGAAAUGCGUAGAGAUGUGGAGGAAUACCGAUGGCGAAGGCAGCCCCCUGGGCCAAUACUGACGCUCAUGCACGAAAGCGUGGGGAGCAAAGCA
RNAcentral lists this ribosomal RNA (428 nucleotides) under uncultured Burkholderia sp. Its description in RNAcentral is "bacterial SSU rRNA". It matches the Rfam family "Bacterial small subunit ribosomal RNA", at positions 355 to 775 of the family's 1533-position model. The record is from RNAcentral. Lineage: Bacteria; Pseudomonadati; Pseudomonadota; Betaproteobacteria; Burkholderiales; Burkholderiaceae.